GACGAACGCUGGCGGCGUGCUUAACACAUGCAAGUCGAACGGUGAAGCCUUUCGGGGUGGAUCAGUGGCGAACGGGUGAGUAACACGUGAGUAAUCUGCCCUUGACUCUGGGAUAACUUCGGGAAACCGGAGCUAAUACCGGAUAUGACACAUGGCUGCAUGGUUUGUGUGUGGAAAGAUUUAUUGGUCAGGGAUGAGCUCGCGGCCUAUCAGCUUGUUGGGGGGUAAUGGCCUACCAAGGCGACGACGGGUAGCCGGCCUGAGAGGGCGACCGGCCACACUGGGACUGAGACACGGCCCAGACUCCUACGGGAGGCAGCAGUGGGGAAUAUUGCGCAAUGGGCGGAAGCCUGACGCAGCGACGCCGCGUGAGGGAUGAAGGCCUCGGUCGUAA
This 394-nucleotide ribosomal RNA is filed under the name uncultured bacterium. RNAcentral's name for it is "bacterial SSU rRNA". It matches the Rfam family "Bacterial small subunit ribosomal RNA", at positions 28 to 428 of the family's 1533-position model. The record is from RNAcentral.